GGGUGGCUCUGGCUGGACACGAGGCUCUCACUGCUGAGUGCGUUCAUCCGUUCCCCCUGGGUGGCUCUGCCCGGGAGCUGCCGGGGCCGAGGAGCGAGGGGAUGGGGCCAGAUGUGAGGGAGGGGAAGGGGCAGAGAGGGCCAAAAACACGCUGGGGG
Long non-coding RNA from Oxyura jamaicensis (ruddy duck), 158 nucleotides. RefSeq lists it as uncharacterized. The record is from RefSeq and is a predicted model, not a curated record. NCBI's taxonomy places the organism in Eukaryota, Metazoa, Chordata, Aves, Anseriformes, Anatidae. The transcript is spliced from 3 exons.